GACUCUCAGCAACGGAUAUCUCGCCUCUCGCAUCGAUGAAGAAGGUAGCAAAACGCGAUACUUGGUGUGAAUUGCAGAAUCCCGUGAACCGUCGAGUCUUUGAACGCAAGUUGCGCCCUAGCCCUCUGGCCGAGGGAACGUCUGCCUGGGUGUCA
This 155-nucleotide ribosomal RNA is filed under the name Brassica napus (rape). RNAcentral's name for it is "rRNA 5_8S_rRNA". It matches the Rfam family "5.8S ribosomal RNA". Rfam says of the family: 5.8S ribosomal RNA (5.8S rRNA) is a component of the large subunit of the eukaryotic ribosome. The record is from Rfam by way of RNAcentral. Lineage: Eukaryota; Viridiplantae; Streptophyta; Magnoliopsida; Brassicales; Brassicaceae.